Non-coding RNA from Oryzias latipes (Japanese medaka), 1313 nucleotides. Lineage: Eukaryota; Metazoa; Chordata; Actinopteri; Beloniformes; Adrianichthyidae. The record is from RefSeq and is a predicted model, not a curated record.
GGUCUCAGCUCUGAAGUCCAACCCGUCCCACCUGUCAGAACUGGACCUGAGCUUCAACAACCUUCAGUCUUCAGAUGUUCAGCAGCUCCAGGAUCUGGUGAAGAGUCCCAACUCCAAACUACAGACUCUGAGGUGGAAGGACUAUAGAGUCUGAUGUUCCUCCUGGAGGAGCAGAGAGGAGCAGCAGCAGCUGGUCUGCAGAGAUGUUGUGACUGGACGGUGUUCCUGGGAGGUGGAGAGCAGAGUGAUGGAGGAAUCAGAGGAAGUGGAGAUGAGUGUCAGAGCUGCAGCAGGAACUGAUCUGAUAUCAGCUUCACUGUCUCUCUCAGCAUCAAGUGAACAGUUAUUGUGCCGCAGCUCCCCCGGUGGACUGAUGGAGAACUACACUUCCUCUUCUCAUUCUAACUUGGAGUGUUGAUCAGUUGGAUUCAGAUGUUCAACAGUUCCAGAAUCUGGAUUAGUCAUGAAUCGAUUGGAAAAUUUAAAUACAUGCUUAAACAUCUACAUCCACAUAAAUAUUUCAUUUGUAAUAACUCACAAUCAACAGACAUUUAACACUUAACAUUUAACACACUAGAUUUAAGACACAUUUAAGACAUUAAACAUCAGGUUUGUCAAAAGGAUAAAUAAUUGCUUCAAAAAGAAGGGAGAAAGCAAACACAUAAUCCCAAUCCCAUCAUGCUCAACUGAACUUUGUAUUUUAUAUUUUUCCAUUUGGAUCCGGUUCUUAACAUCUGAUAAGUUAUUUAUAUUUUACCAUCACAAACGCAGAUCAUAAAAAAUAAUAAUAAUAAAAUCAAAUGACAAAAAUUAAAUGCAUAUAAUUAUGUCAGAAGGCCUAACAUUACUUCAGAAAUCACAACAUAUUACAAAUUACGUAAUAAAAUGAUUAAUAUUUGGGAAAUUAUUACUUAAGUAAAUUGUAUUAAUCAGUAAUCCAUUUUAUUAUAGAGUAUGACUUACCAUAGAGUGAGCAGUGUCUCAGUUUUUAAAGCUGGGAAAAAUAAUUAACAUCUUGAUUUCAAAACCAUCAAUAACAUUCCAGGCUACCACUUCCUGUAAACAAAUCUACCAACAAGCAUUUGCUCUAAAUCACUGUUCAAUGACUCACCGUCACAGCUGAACCAGAAAACCCAAGAAAACCAGAACCAGACUAAACCAAAACCAUUUCCAUCCCAUUUGUGGUCAGCUUACAUUGACUUCGCCCCCCCUCCCUGACACCCGGAAAAAUGUUUUUUCUUGCCCAUACGUGUCGACAUGUGUCGAGUAGUUUGUCCUGUUCUCUUUUCUCAUUAAAAACUUUACCAAUCAGG